GGAGGCAGCAGUAUGGAAUAUUGGGCAACCGGGGGCAAGCCUGACCCAGCCAUGCCGCGCGCAGGAUGACAGCCCUACGGGUUGUAAACUGCCUUUAUACGGGAAAAAACCCCCUGACGUGUCAGAGGCUGAUGGUACCGUAAGAAUAAGCAUCGGCUAACUCCGUGCCAGCAGCCGCGGUAAUACGGAGGAUGCAAGCGUUAUCCGGAUUUACUGGGUUUAAAGGGUGCGCAGGCGGAACGACAAGUCAGUGGUGAAAUCUCCUGGCUCAACCAGGAAACUGCCAUUGAUACUAUCGUUCUUGAGUCCAGUGGAAGUAGGCGGAAUGUAGCAUGUAGCGGUGAAAUGGUUAGAUAUGCUACAGAACACGGAUAGCGAAGGCAGCUUACUAAACUGAAACUGACGCUCAUGCAAGAAAGCGUGGGGAUCAAAAAGGAUUAGAUACCCUGGUACUCCACGCCCUCAAUUAAAUAAGGGGGGUGUUGGCAACUAUAUCGUCAGCGACUAAGCGAAAGCAUUAAGUGAUCCACCUGGGGAGUACGAUCGCAAGGUUGAAACUCAAAGGAAUUGACGGGGGCCCGCACAAGCGGAGGAGCAUGUGGUUUAAUUCGAUGAUACGCGAGGAACCUUACCUGGGCUAGAACGCAGAACGACGUUUCGGGAAACCGGAAUUCUCUUCGGAGCGAUCUGCGAGGUGCUGCAUGGUUGUCGUCAGCUCGUGCCGUGAGGUGUCGGGUUAAGUCCCAUAACGAGCGCAACCCCUAUUCUUAGUUGCCAUCAGGUAAUGCUGGGGACUCUAAGAAAACUGCCUACGCAAGUAGUGAGGAAGGUGGAGAUGACGUCAAAUCAGCACGGCCCUUAUGUCCAGGGCUACACACGUGCUACAAUGGCCGGUACAGAGGGCAGCCACCUGGUGACAGGGAGCAAAUCUCCAAAGCCGGUCUCAGUUCGGAUCGAAGUCUGCAACUCGACUUCGUGAAGUUGGAUUCGCUAGUAAUCGUAUAUCAGCAACGAUACGGUGAAUACGUUCCCGGGCCUUGCACAAACCGCCCGUCAAG
RNAcentral lists this ribosomal RNA (1058 nucleotides) under uncultured bacterium. Its description in RNAcentral is "bacterial SSU rRNA". It matches the Rfam family "Bacterial small subunit ribosomal RNA", at positions 344 to 1401 of the family's 1533-position model. The record is from RNAcentral.